RNAcentral lists this ribosomal RNA (253 nucleotides) under uncultured bacterium. RNAcentral describes it as "partial 16S ribosomal RNA". It matches the Rfam family "Bacterial small subunit ribosomal RNA", at positions 524 to 776 of the family's 1533-position model. The record is from RNAcentral.
UACGGGGGGAGCAAGCGUUGUUCGGAUUUACUGGGCGUAAAGGGCGCGUAGGCGGCCAGCACAAGUCAGUUGUGAAAUCUCCGAGCUUAACUCGGAAAGGUCAACUGAUACUGUGCGGCUAGAGUGCGGAAGGGGCAACUGGAAUUCUUGGUGUAGCGGUGAAAUGCGUAGAUAUCAAGAGGAACACCUGCGGCGAAGGCGGGUUGCUGGGCCGACACUGACGUGAGGCGCGAAAGCCAGGGGAGCGAACGGG